GACAAGGUGGCCGAGUUGGUUAAGGCGUUGUGUUUGGGUCUAAUGACUCCAUCCGCAAUGGGAAACCGCGCGAGUCCGAAUCUCGUCCUUGUCA
This is a non-coding RNA of Lasiosphaeria ovina, 94 nucleotides long. The record is from the annotation of a GenBank genome assembly. NCBI's taxonomy places the organism in Eukaryota, Fungi, Ascomycota, Sordariomycetes, Sordariales, Lasiosphaeriaceae.